Molecule: ribosomal RNA, 406 nt
Filed under: uncultured bacterium
Lineage: Bacteria
Description: partial 16S ribosomal RNA
Rfam family: Bacterial small subunit ribosomal RNA
Source: RNAcentral
AUUGAACGCUGGCGGCAGGCCUAACACCUGCAAGUCGAACGAGUGGCGGACGGGUGAGUAAUGUCUGGGAAACUGCCUGAUGGAGGGGGAUAACUACUGAAAACGGUAGCUAAUACCGCAUACCAUCAGAUGUGCCCAGAUGGGAUUAGCUAGUUGGUGGGGGAACGGCUCACCAAUGCGACGAUCCCUAGCUGGUCUGAGAGGAUGAUCGGCCACUGUGGAACUGAGACACGGUCCAGACUCGUACGUGAGGCAGCAGUGGGGAAUAUUGCACAAUGGGCGCAAGCCUGAUGCAGCCAUGCCGCGUGUAUGAAGAAGGCCUUCGGGUUGUAAAGUACUGUCAGCGGGGAGGCGUUACCCACAGAAGAAGCACCGGCUAACUCCGUGCCAGCAGCGGCGGUAAUAC